GAAAAACAAUAAUCAUGGCUAUUAAAUAGCCUUACACCAAAACAGAAAUGUAAACAGCAACCCACGAUUUUACAGGACCUAGAAUCGUGGUUCAUGACUAAGUCUUGAACAAGAAACAGCAAACGUAUCCCUCAAGUAUAGGAGGGUUAUUAGCACGACUGAAACAAAUCCUAAAAACAAGGUUCCUGACCUUAACAGCUAGGAAAAAACCAACAAUUUUAUCAUCCUCCCUUAAACUGAAUACUAUUGACUUUCAGUUUAUUCCAGAAUAUUCGCAGACGCCCAUUAAACCUCGCAGCUUCUGAAAUGCUUCAAGCUUCAAUGGCUUUGUCAUGAUAUCUGCAAUCUGCUCAUGGGUAGAACACUGUAACAGCUCCACUACUUCAUCUUUGAUAAGAUCUCGAAGAAAAUGAAAGCGCACAUCUAUGUGCUUGCUCCGACCGUGCAUGACUGGAUUCUUCGAGAGCUUAAUUGCUGAUACAUUGUCGCAGUAUAUCACCGUAGGACUGGUUUGCACUUGAUUCAAACUUUUCAAAAUUCUUCUUAACCAAACAGCUUGGCAUGCACUUGACGCUGCAGCAAUGAACUCUGCUUCAGUGGUAGACAGAGUAACCACUGGUUGCUUCUUUGAAGACCAUGAUACUGCACUUGAAUUCAUAAAAACAUAACCUGAGGUGCUCUUCCUGUCGUCCUGAUCACCAGCAUAAUCGCUGUCCGUAUAGCCAAUAAACUUGUCAUCUCCUCCCUUCUUGUAGAACACUCCAAACUCAACUGUGCCCUUCACAUACCUUAGUAUUCUUUUUGCUGCCAGCAAAUGGGACUCAGUGGGAUGCUCCAUGUAUCUACUAAUUAAACUCACACUAAACAUUAGAUCAGGACGCGUUGCCGUUAAGUACAUAAGGCUUCCCACCAUUUGCUUGUAAAGAGUGCCAUCGACUUCCACUCCUUCUUUAUCCCGUGUAAGUUUAAAACCAGGAACCACUGGAUUGUGCACUGGGUUACACUGAUACAAAUUAAAUCUCUCUAACACUUCUUGCGCAUACUUCCUUUGACUGAUAAAAAUACCAUCUGUUUUUUGCAUCACUUCAAUACCAAGGAAGUACCUCAAUUUUCCGAGGUCAGUCAUAUCGAAUUCCACCAUCAUGGACUUCUUGAAUUGCUUGAACAUAGACUCAUCAUUUCCAGUAAAAAUAAGGUCAUCAACGUAAAGACAAACAAUCAAAAUUUUACCUCCUUUCGCUGUUUUAGUGAACAAAGUGUGCUCGUAGGGACAUUUGUUGAAUCCUUCCUUGAUGAAAUAUGACUCUAUACGACUAUACCAGGCUCGUGGAGCCUGUUUGAGUCCGUAUAAUGCCUUUUUGAGACGAUACACCUUUGAUUCCUUCCCUUUCUGUUCGUAACCUGGUGGCUGUUCAACAAAGACUUCUUCAUGAAUUUCUCCAUGCAAAAAUGCCGAUUUCACGUCGAGUUGAUAGAUCAUCCAAUCCUUUUGUGCAGCAAGUGAAAUAACUAUUCGAAUUGUUUCUAGGCGAGCUACUGGUGCGAACACUUCGACGUAAUCCACCCCAUAUUGUUGGCUAUAUCCCUUAGCAACUAGCCGAGCCUUGUACUUGUCCACUUCCCCAUUCUCAUUAAGCUUCGCCUUGAAAAUCCACUUCACUCCAAUGGUUUUCCCUCCUGAUGGUAGAUCCGUUAAUUCCCACGUAUUAUUCCUCUCUAUUGCUUCGAUUUCCUGAUUCAUGGCCAGCCUCCACUUUUCACUUCUCACGGCAUCAUCAUAUGUUGUGGGAUCAUUGUCAGUGAACAAGGCUAACUGAGCCAAAUUCACACUUUCUUCAUCUGAAAGUCCUGCACCAGUUUCGUAAUCUUGCAUCCAAGUUGGUGGUCUUCGUGUUCGUCCUUCAUGAGGUGUGUUAUCUUCAUAUGUGGUUUCUCCAUUUUCGAAUGAGUCACUGUCGUUUGACUCACUGUUUCCCAUAUCUUCACCAGCUUCAGGUUCUUCUUCAUUUCCGUCAUCUUCCGUAUCUGUUUCUUCAUCCGAUUCCCACUCAAGAUCAGCCAAAAUGGCUGGCUCAUGACUGUCAUCCCACUUCCAUUGUUGAUCUUCUUCAAAGACCACAUCUCGGCUUAUAAUAAUUUUCUGUGAGAUAGGAUCAAACAGUCUAUAGGCCUUAGAUUCUUCACUUACCCCCAGCAAUAUACACCUAAGACUUUUGGCAUCAAGUUUCACUCUUUUGUGGUCAGGCACGUGCACAUGGGAUAUGCAUCCAAAUAUUCUGAAGUGGUCGACAGAUGGUUUGCGCCCACUCCAUGCUUCUUCAGGUGUUUUAUUCUUCACAGCAAGAGUUGGACUUCGGUUUAGCACAUGCACUGUCCAGUUGACUGCUUCAGGCCAAAAGGUUUUAGGAAUUUGUUUCUCUGAUAGCAUACUUCGUACCAUAUUCAUAAUGGUUCGAUUCUUCCUUUCGGCGACACCGUUUUGCUGAGGAGUAUAGGCAGCCGUCAAUUGCCUUAGGAUUCCAUUCUCAUUGCAGAAACUUGUGAAUUCGUUUGAUGUGAAUUCACCCCCACGAUCUGUUCUCAGGCUCCUUAUGAAUGCUCCGGUUUCCUUCUCAACCUUGGCCUUGUACGUUUUGAAUGUGGCAUAGGCUUCUGACUUUUCAACUAGGAAGUAAACNNNNNNNNNNNNNNNNNNNNNNNNNNNNNNNNNNNNNNNNNNNNNNNNNNNNNNNNNNNNNNNNNNNNNNNNNNNNNNNNNNNNNNNNNNNNNNNNNNNNGUUUUACGACUGAAGUCAUCAAAAAAGGUGAUUAAGUACCUUUUCUUGCUAUUGGAAAUUGGAUUUAUCGGGCCACAUAUGUCAGCAUGUAUUAAUUGAAGGAUCUUGGAGGCUCUCCACAAACUUUCCUUUGGAAAAGGAUCACGGUGCUGUUUGCCCACAAGACAGUUCUCGCACACUUUCUGAGAAGCUUUGAGCUUUGGUAACCCUUCAACCAUGUUCUUCUGUUGGAUCACUUUGAGUCCAUUCCAGCUGAGGUGCCCAUAACGACAAUGCCAAAGAUCUGCUUGAUCUGUGGUCAUCAUGGAGAGACACUUUUGUUCCUUUGGUGGGCAGCGAGCAAGCACAGCAAACAUUCUAUUAUAUGUCAUCUCAGUUUCCAUAAUGAGACCUUUCUCAGGAUGAAAGAUCUUACAUUUGCCAUGUUGUAUAAGCACGGCAAGUCCCCUUUCUUGUAGUUGGCCUAUGCUGAGCAAGUUCUUCUUCAAAUCUGGCACAAAGUAAACUCCUGUAAUCACAUGUACGAUCCCGUUCACCUCCAUUCGAACCUUGCCCUUGCCUUUAACCGUGAGACUAGAAUCAUUUCCCAGUUUCACUGACUCUCUGAAGUUGCUAUCGAGUUCAAUAAAUAUUUCCCUUCGGCCACACAUAUGGUUGCUACACCCAGAGUCAAGAAACCAAAUGUAUUCCGUCCCAGCUUCUUUAAAGUCCACCUGUGCCAUCAAUAACAUCUCUUCUUUUGUUUCUGCGUAGUUCACCUUUGGAUCCCUUGCUCUCUUAGGGCACUCCCAUUGAAAAUGCCCUAAUUCAUGACAGUUAUAGCAUUCCAGGAAAGAUUUGUCGAACCCAAAUCUACCAUUUCCCCUUCCUCUUCCACGAUAAGCACCUCGACCGCCAUGUCUUCCUCCCUGCUGGACUCCUGUCGUGACUUGGAGUGCUUGUUCAUCCACAACAUGCCGGCUGAUUCGCUGUUCGUGCACCAGGAGGCUACUCUGAAGCUCAUCUAUGGACAAAGUGUCCAAGUCAUUCGACUCCUCAAUUGAGCAAACGACAUAAUCAUAUUUUGAAGUCAUAGACCUUAAAAUUUUUUCAAUAAUCACCACAUCCACCAUUCUCUCGCCGUGAGUCCUCAUCUUGUUAGCUAUGAUGAGUGUUCUUCCAAAAUAAUCGUUGACAGAUUCUCCAGUCUUCAUGUGCAACACUUCAAACUCUUUACGAAGAGCUUGCAGUUGGGCACGCUUGACCCGUGCUGUCCCCUGAUAUUUCUGCUUCAAAGAAUCCCAUAUGUCCUUUGCAGUAUCUUUCUUCAAGAUUGUCUCCAGGAUUGAACGAUCAAUGGCCUGGAAUAGGUAGUUCUUAGCCUUCAAGUCUUUCAGCUUCUGAUCUUCCAAUGCCUUCUUCUGCGCAUCACUGAGAUCAAUUCCUUCUGCUGCUGCAGUGAUCCCCGUUUCUACCAGGUUCCAGUAUUCCUUGGAACGUAGGAAAUUCUCCAUUAGCAUGCUCCAGUGAUCAUAGUGUCCAUCAAACCUUGGAAUGGCAGGUUGUACGAAACUGUUCUCAGAUGCCAUGUCUUUUGUUCCUUCACGCUAAGUUUGGUCAGGCCCGGUGAUGUUGCUCUGAUACCAAAUGAUAGAACCAAAAAUGACAAGUUCUGUAAAUGCAAAGUUUGAUAACACUAGAACUCUGGGAGAAUGCAACUUUUAUUGAAAAACAAUAAUCAUGGCUAUUAAAUAGCCUUACACCAAAACAGAAAUGUAAACAGCAACCCACGAUUUUACAGGACCUAGAAUCGUGGUUCAUGACUAAGUCUUGAACAAGAAACAGCAAACGUAUCCCUCAAGUAUAGGAGGGUUAUUAGCACGACUGAAACAAAUCCUAAAAACAAGGUUCCUGACCUUAACAGCUAGGAAAAAAACCAACAAUUUUAUCA
RNAcentral lists this long non-coding RNA (4707 nucleotides) under Vitis vinifera (wine grape). RNAcentral describes it as "long non-coding RNA (VVIN_LNC006216)". Lineage: Eukaryota; Viridiplantae; Streptophyta; Magnoliopsida; Vitales; Vitaceae. The record is from RNAcentral.